Molecule: ribosomal RNA, 492 nt
Filed under: uncultured bacterium
Lineage: Bacteria
Description: partial 16S ribosomal RNA
Rfam family: Bacterial small subunit ribosomal RNA
Source: RNAcentral
GGGGGGGGCGGGGGGGGGGGGGGAGGGAGGGGGGGCGAGGGGGAGCGGCAUUGAGUGGUGGCACUCGGGGGACGUCGACCGGCGCACGGGGGAGGAGCGCGUAGCCGACCUGCCCAUUACUGUGGGAUAGCCUGCCGCAAGGCAGACUAAUACCGCAUAGUCUUCGGUGACGGCAGCGGAUUGUAAGUGAGGAUUUCUCGGUAAUGGAUGGGGCUGCGUCUGAUUAGCUGGUUGGCGGGGUAACGGCCCACCAAGGCUACGAUCAGUAGGGGUUCUGCGAGGAAGGUCCCCCACAUUGGGACUGAGACACGGUCCAAACUCCUACGGGAGGAAGCAGUGAGGAAUAUUGGUCAAUGGACGGAAGUAUGAACCAGCCAAGUAGCGUGCAGGAUGACGGCCCUAUGGGUUGUAAACUGCUUUUGUAUGGGGAUAAAGUUAGGGACGUGUCCCUAUUUGCAGGUACCAUACGAAUAAGGACCGGCUAAUUCCGUG